Oenanthe melanoleuca is the source of this 1857-nucleotide long non-coding RNA. RefSeq lists it as uncharacterized. Lineage: Eukaryota; Metazoa; Chordata; Aves; Passeriformes; Muscicapidae. The record is from RefSeq and is a predicted model, not a curated record. The transcript has 4 exons.
GCGGCCGUUCGAACGGGGCUGGGAGCGGCCCGGGCCGGAGCGGGACCGGGCUCGGCCUCAGGCUCGGGUCCGCCGCGGGCACGGCGCAGCCGGGACACGGUGCAGCCGGAUCCCCGUACGGCGCAGCCGGGACACGGCGCAGCCGGAGCCCCAGACCGACAGCCCGCGGCUCGCAGCGCAGGUGGGGCCGGGAGGCGCUCGGAGCUGCCUCAGACAGGUGUGCCGCCCUUUGAAGGCCGGGAAUAAAGUGAGACAGACCGCGCAAGGUGAAGGAAACCUGACACUGAACCUACCACGGACAAGUUGAAGAAUUCUUACCUUUUGCUGGGAUUUUGAUGGGUUUUUCCCCAUCUCCAGAGCAGGAUCUCUAUCCCACAACUCGCUGUUAUGUCUAUCUAAGACUGACUUGCACAACCUCCUUGCCUAUAGAAUGGAAAAUUGAUCAAUGUAUUUCAGUCUGACCUUGUAAGCAGCUGUAACUGAAGAAAAUCUCCUGGAAAGUGACUAGUAAAGUGAAAUUCAGAACUUCCUACUUAAUACCCAGGAAGGAAGAAGUGAGAGCUGAAGACUGACAUGUCAACAGGUGUGUUCACACACUCUACUUGCAGUCAGAAAAAUCCAACUCAUCCUGAAUCAAUUUACUGCUUUGCUUCAGUGCUUUUGAAAAUGGUGAUUAAGACUUCAUGUUAUAAUCUGGAACAAGGUGAUUAAUGGCCCCUCAAAAAUCCACACAAGGUCUCAGCUGUAACUUACUAUUUUCACCACUGUUGGAGACAAUAAAGGAAGGAAGAGUGUGAAACAAAGUGAUAAGGAUUUGUGGCUUUGGGGCUGGAAAAGCUUUGGCUUAUAAGGCUAAGUAGCUUAAUGUUGGGCAUAGAGACAUCUCAAUCACUCCGAGGGUGGCUGUCACAAAACAGCUUGUCAGGCUUCAUCUGGAGAGGUUUACAAUGCAUCCUGUAAUGGAGUGUGAUUAUUGCUGUCACAAACACCAGAUGAGAAGUCAGAAAAUAAACAUAGUCCAGCAUCUGACACAAAGUCUGUGGUUUUAAUUACCACUGUUUAAUUAACUUAGUUAAAAGAAUGGAAGUAUUGGUUUUUUCAAAAAGGUUUUUUAGACAUACAGAAAAAUCCUCAUAUAAAUAUCACUUAUAUAAUUUAAUGUUUUCAACCUAUUUAAAAUAAUAAAAUUGUACAUGAUUACCAGUAUCAAAUGCUUUUUCAGUUUACAAACAUGAUUCCAACUUUCCUAGCUUGAUUUUGUUCUGAACAGCAAGGAAGACUAUGUGUCAUAUACACUGUAGUUAGCUUGUGUUGGCCAGUUAAUACAUAGGUGGGAGCAAAACUGUUGUUAUAGAACUUAUUAUUUUUUUUAAUUCCCAAAGCUUAUCUGCUUUCUAUUAACCAGCAGUUCAAAGGGUCAGCAAAGAUGAUGUUUUGUGCAUUGAGGACUGUAUGAACACACAGCCAUCAGGAUCUACCUUGGUUUACUAAUUCGUCUAAUAUUUAGAAAUACUUUUCUCUUUAUUUUGAACAUAGUUUUCUACCUAGUGUGAGACACUCUUGGCAGUGGGAAAGGGAAUAAAAUAUUUUUGUAUAAAUGCAUUUUGGUUUGGAUGAUGGUGUUUCCCAUCCAUGCAUGCUGAUCUACAAAAACCCUUACAAGGAGCUGUGAAGUAAUAGAAAUAAAGGGUGGGGUGGAUACUGAUCCUGUUCAAUCCUGACUGGCCAGUAGAGGACAUAUCCUCCCAAAUCCUGUUUAGGGUUAAAAGGAUUGAUCCUUGUGCAUCUACUUGGCUUUGUAAUUGUGUCCUUACCUACUAUGAUAUUUAAUUAAACAUUAAAAUAUAGUUAAAUAGA